UACGAAGGGGGCUAGCGUUGUUCGGAUUUACUGGGCGUAAAGCGCACGUAGGCGGAUCGUUAAGUCGGGGGUGAAAUCCUGGAGCUCAACUCCAGAACUGCCUUCGAUACUGGAAGACUUGAGUCCGGGAGAGGUGAGCGGAACUGCGAGUGUAGAGGUGAAAUUCGUAGAUAUCCGCAAGAACACCAGUGGCGAAGGCGGCUCACUGGCCCGGUACUGACGCUGAGGUGCGAAAGCGUGGGGAGCAAACAGG
This 253-nucleotide ribosomal RNA is filed under the name uncultured bacterium. RNAcentral's name for it is "partial 16S ribosomal RNA". It matches the Rfam family "Bacterial small subunit ribosomal RNA", at positions 524 to 776 of the family's 1533-position model. The record is from RNAcentral.